This is a long non-coding RNA of Ictalurus punctatus (channel catfish), 3128 nucleotides long. The record is from Ensembl. NCBI's taxonomy places the organism in Eukaryota, Metazoa, Chordata, Actinopteri, Siluriformes, Ictaluridae.
AAAUAAAUAAAUAAAUAAAUCAAUCAAAAGGCUCAUUUCAAGGUGAAUUCGAGGAUUUAUUAAAUAUUGCUAAAUCAAUGUACAAUCUUGACAUAUGUUAAAUUAGAAUUAAACUUCAUAUCAUUUUCAUUAACAGUGCUAUUAAAUUCUAUUAUGCCUCUAGGGAAAGAAAGAAAGAAAGAAGAAAAAAAAAAAGAAGAAAGUAUCUCUAUACAAAGCGAAGGCUCGACAAUCUCAUACACAUCCUUUACUGAAAACUGGAAGUAAAGACGCGGCGACGGAGAGACACGGCAGGUCUGUAAGACGUGGUAGUGCAAGUAUCGUUCUGAGCGUUCACUGUCUCCGGUAGAGAUUAUCACGUCGUGCCGUGUUUACAGAAUGACUCGCCCGGGCGCCGAGGAAGGAGUCUCUCUCGUUCUUUCCCCGGGCCUCUCAGUGUCUCUCGACGCAGAACUCGCGCGAGCUCAGAGGCUAGAUACUAGAUCUAGAUACUCUAGAUACUAAAGCCGCUUAGAAUUAAAAACACUGCAACAAAGCUUACCGGUCUAAACAGAUUAAACGCAUUAAAUCUUAUCAUUUUUACCGUCUCAAAAAAAAAAAAAAAAAAAAAAAAAAAAAAAAGGUUAAUGGGCUUUUAUUAAUUUUCAGAACAGGCGAAAGACGAGACGAAGCAAAAAAAAAAAAAAAAAAAAAUUUAUAUAAGUAAAAAUUGUUUAAGGACUUUCCUAUAGAAAAGUUUGUGCCAUGGCGUAGUCGGUCCCUUUUAAAUGUUAUCCAUUACAUUUCUGAUAUAAAUAAAUGAAUAAAUAAGAAAAGAAAAGAAGCUGUCGGACGUUAGAACUCUCGCCAGGCCGACUCUACGAGCUUGACGCUACGAGUCUACGGCUACGAGUCACGAAGCUGCGAGAGAAAAGGGCGGGCGAGGUGAACAAGCGUUUAACACCAGAGACGACCGUGGUCUCUUUAAGACGCGUCGUACAGCUCGACGGGUUUGCAUAUUAAAGUGGUAAUAUUGCACAAAAUACAAAAAUAAGACAGAAAAUACUGCUUGCUAUUACCGGUUAGGAAUACAAAAAGAUGCCUCUUUAACACUUCUCCAAGCAGCAUCUAUAACUAGUCAUACUGUCCAGUGUAGCCCCGAAUUCAAGUGUCCCCCAUGUUAAUUACUGCCGUCGCGGAACGUUUGGCACCCAAACUGACCGAGGGACGGAGGGGCGCAAACUGGUGUCUGUUUAAGGACAUCCCCUUAUUUAGAUUAGAUGAGUGUGCAUAAAGUCUGGAAGGAGUUUCGCAGGUCUACUUCUAAGUGCAGCUGUGGAGCGUGGCAGUUCAAGGCCUGUGCUGAAGCUCACCUACACACACACACACACACGCACACACACACACGCACACACGCACGCACGCACUCAGGCAGGCUGUUGAGGGUUCACAUUCAUGUGUUGGGGAUGUCCGAGGAGUCCGAUCCUCUGCUUCUGCUUACGCUGUUCAGUCAUCUGUCAGGGCACACACAAACACACAGAGGGGUUUAAUCUUUGGCUGCCCGCACAACCUAACACACACACACACACACACACACACACACACGCACGCACGCACGCACGCACGCACGCACGCACGCACACACACUCCCCCCUUGUAUACACCAGGCACUUCCUGCAUGAAUGCAUCUGUUAAAUCUGUUCCUGUUCCCUUGGUACGAGUCCAGACUCUGCGUGUCUCUGUGUGUGCAUGUGCGUGUGUGUACCGUUGUGUGAGUGACUGUGUCACAAUCUCAAACGCUUAUAAACACACGAACGCGAUCACACACACAAAUCAAUCUAACAGAGAAAUGUAUCCUUUUGUCAUCUGUAAAAAUCCCCUAUUCUGACUCAACACGAACAAAAACAGGCUAAAAGCUACACGCACGCACGCACGCACGCACGCACGCACGAAGUCAGUGCCUACGGGAUCCAUCUUCGUACCGCCCGAGUAAAUCGUGGCCAUAUGAAUGUAAAUACAGACAGGCACACAGGAUACGGUGAUCACCCUUAACAGAUCGGAAGGAUUUGAAUUCGCUCGGGUUGCUCAACUCGAACGACAUUUUAAAUUUGGGGAAAACAAAAAAAAACAAAACAGAAGACAUUUGAUAGUCGUGUCACCAUGUAGGGGUGUGUGUGUGUGUGUGUGUGUGUAAUAACACACACCGGUACACACAGUGUCCCGUCGUCACCACGCGGUCCAUAAAGUCCGACAUGGCUUUUCCGGCGUCCCAUCCCUGAGGGAUUCCUGAUCAGGACGGCGCCGCGGUCCUGUUUCACAAUACGUCUUCACUGGUGUCUCCGCACGACGGCCAUCAUACAACGCGGACGAACGACGCUAGCCAGUCAGCUAUCGUUUGAUCACUUUUUACGGUCGGUGUCAAGGUCUCUCCAAUAAAACGCCACACUUCUUUACGAUCUCUCCGGGUGAGGACCGUCUCCAUGGUCACCUACACACCUGACCACACCUCUGGAAAGCAGCUCCACCCCAGAGGCUUCGAGUCGGAUCAAAGGUACGAUGGAGCUUUUACUUGUAAAGGGGUCAAUAUUUAAACACGGACGUGUACGUGCUUCGGAUCCAUCGUUUCGUUUCGUGUUCUUCGAUCCGUACCGAUUCGCGAGAUCACUUUCCUCGCUCUCUUAACGCACUAGAGGUUCGGAAAGGUCCGAUAAACUAAAAUUCGUUGUUUAUUUAUUUUUUAUAACGGAUCUUUUUAAAAAAUUUAUUUAUUUAUUUAUUUAUUUUUAUCGUUGACGUGCUUUAAAUGUCACUUUCCGGAUUUAGCUGCCUUUCCACAUUUUAUAAGCCAUUUAAUUUGAUAGAUAAUAUUCAUUAUAGAAGGUUAUUAUACAUCAAUGUACAGAUUCCAGGUCUCUGAGUAUGGCUAGAGAUCGUUCCGGGCUAAAAAUUCAAAUACGUUUCUAAAAAAAAAAAACCAAUAAAUUCCAGAGACAGACGUGUAAACUACUGUACAAGUGAAAGGCGAUGGGUUUUUUUUUUUUUUUUUUUGGACUGUUACUUGACCUUCUUUUGUUUCCCUUUGUCUGGGUGUCAAAAGCGGAUCUAGUUCCUCCUAUGCACUUCUCAUUUGUCAGUCUCCUAAUUACCAG